Molecule: ribosomal RNA, 253 nt
Filed under: uncultured archaeon
Lineage: Archaea
Description: partial 16S ribosomal RNA
Rfam family: Bacterial small subunit ribosomal RNA
Source: RNAcentral
AACCAGCACCUUAAGUGGUCAGGAGGAUUAUUGGGCCUAAAGCAUCCGUAGCCUGUUCUAUAAGUUUGCGGUUAAAUCUAUACGCUCAACGUAUAGGCUGCCGUAAAUACUGUAGAACUAGGGAGUGGGAGAGGUAGACGGUACUCGAUAGGAAGGGGUAAAAUCCUUUGAUCUAUUGAUGACCACCUGUGGCGAAGGCGACACUCUGGCCUAAUACUGACGCUGAGGUGCGAAAGCGUGGGGAGCAAACCGG